This 253-nucleotide ribosomal RNA is filed under the name uncultured bacterium. RNAcentral describes it as "partial 16S ribosomal RNA". It matches the Rfam family "Bacterial small subunit ribosomal RNA", at positions 524 to 776 of the family's 1533-position model. The record is from RNAcentral.
UACGGAGGGUGCAAGCGUUGUCCGGAUUUAUUGGGUUUAAAGGGCGCGUAGGCGGCCCGGUAAGUCAGUGGUGAAAGCCUCCAGCUCAACUGGAGAACUGCCAUUGAUACUGCCGGGCUUGAGUACAGACGAGGUUGGCGGAAUUGAUUGUGUAGCGGUGAAAUGCAUAGAUAUCGGGAAGAACACCUAUGGCGAAGGCAGCUCUCUGGGACGGUACUGACGCUGAGACGCGAAAGCGUGGGGAGCGAACAGG